RNAcentral lists this long non-coding RNA (475 nucleotides) under Homo sapiens (human). RNAcentral's name for it is "HSALNT0303177". The record is from RNAcentral. Lineage: Eukaryota; Metazoa; Chordata; Mammalia; Primates; Hominidae.
GGGAGCUUGUAUUUUAUUGGAAACAUGGUCCUGAAGGGCUGCUGAUGCAUGUGAACAAGUACAGUCUUGAAUUUGGAGUCUAAACCAUCUUAAACAAGUUUAUGUCCAUGCUGCAGAUAUAAAGGAUGAAGUUGUAGGGCAGGAAGUCUUAUGUAACUUGGAGCAGCUACUCAAUGGAAAUCACAAACAGAAUGAGUUUCAUCCACAUGUCAAGACACUACUACCAACAGAGCUAUUUCAGGACACCUACCUAAAUAACUAGCUGUCUCUUCCACUUAAAGCAAGGAGAGUCUUCUCUUAUCUUCAAGAAGAAUAAAAAGUGAAGCUGACAUUACUUGGAAAGAGAAUAAACAAAAUCUGUCAUGAGGACUGCAGGGAUGAAUGACACAAACCAGCCAUUUCUUUGAGAGUCAGGAAAUAUCUAGUUUAUACAAUAAGCUGAUCUACCAAUAAAAUACAAUUGGUGUUGAAAUAU